UGUCAUAAGGUGACUAGGCCCCACAGAAG
RNAcentral lists this non-coding RNA (29 nucleotides) under Rattus norvegicus (Norway rat). Lineage: Eukaryota; Metazoa; Chordata; Mammalia; Rodentia; Muridae. The record is from RNAcentral.